Molecule: small RNA, 46 nt
Filed under: Staphylococcus aureus
Lineage: Bacteria; Bacillati; Bacillota; Bacilli; Caryophanales; Staphylococcaceae
Description: 3'UTR
Source: RNAcentral
UACUGAUGAACAGUUAAAUGAAUUUUUAAAAGGUACAGAAAAAUUU